GGUGCCCAUUUAAUUAAAAAAAGAACCGCUCGUAUUUCUUCUUCUUCUUCUUCUUUUCUUUCCCCCUGCUUUUCAUUUUCGGUUUUCCCUAACUCUCGUUUUCGCCCUUCUCUUAGCUUCGACCACCUCUGAAGUUCCACCUUUCUCCAUAUUUCUCCUCCAUUACGCGUGCUCGUAGUUCUCCAUUGAAGCGCAUUAUGAGCUUUGUCCAUAUCACUCCUCCACUACGCGUACUAUUAAUUCUCCACUGAAGCGUAUUCGAGCUUUCUCACCUCCAUUGAAGCAGCUUCGAGAUAAUGCAUUGACAUUAAAAAGUACCGCAAAUGAAGGUUGAACUAGAUAUUGGAUAGGGGCCGCGCAAACGCAUGCCCUCUCUAUCACAAAUUAUGAUGUACACUCUUCCUCUUGGGAAGAUGUUAUGCAGGCACCCCUUCCUAAUGUGCAAUGGAGACCACCCGCCUAGGCCAUGAGUCUUCUAGGUCACCCAUUGAACCCGUCCAGAAUCAAAAUGCUCACUCUGCUAUAUUGAGACAGCUGAAUUUACUCGAGUAAGAUAUUCUUUCUCAUACCCCUGCUUUGUAUGUAUUGGCUCAACUACAAGAUAUAUUUCAUGUUAACUUUGGUCUUGAGGUUUCGCUUGUUUCUUAAUCAGACCUUUAGCAAGUAUAAAGGCACCUUACUUCUAGGAAGGGUACUUUAAACAAGGACCGGGACAAAAGAUUCUCCAUAAAACCCGGAAACACAAAACACAAAACAAGGAACACAAAACAAAAAACACAGCAAGCCCAUAUACACAGGAGGCCAAAACAACACCUACACACAUCUAGCAAACACACCAUAAACAACAACACCCAAUCAAAAACAGACCAGCAGGCCACCAAAACAGCAGCACCAUCCCACACAACUACUGCUCAGAACCCAAACAGCAGCCCAACCAGUACAGAGCAGACAUCAACAAGCCCUGUAGGAAAACAGGCAGACAGACAGCACCAGCUGAGCAUAAAGUCAAAGGAGACAGACUCUAAAUCCAUGAGCAGCAGCUCCCAGCAAGUCCUGACAGAGACAGCAGCCUGCACAGAAAACAGACACAUCUGCAUCACCACCAAGAACCAGCCUAGCAACACAGCAUCUCAGCAUCACAACUCCCUAGAAAACCAGCAACAUGGCUGCAAAAGGAAAACAGACAGCAGCACAGUAGUAUCAACACUGUAAUCUCAAGUGUGUUUUUUUUUUUAGUUUUUUAAAGUGUAAUAUUACAAGUUAUUGAAUAAAAUA
Molecule: long non-coding RNA, 1275 nt
Organism: Chenopodium quinoa (quinoa)
Lineage: Eukaryota; Viridiplantae; Streptophyta; Magnoliopsida; Caryophyllales; Amaranthaceae
Exons: 3
Source: RefSeq, a predicted model, not a curated record